AUUGAACGCUGGCGGCAGGCCUAACACAUGCAAGUCGGACGGUAGCACAGAGAGCUUGCUCUCGGGUGACGAGUGGCGGACGGGUGAGUAAUGUCUGGGGAUCUGCCCGAUAGAGGGGGAUAACCACUGGAAACGGUGGCUAAUACCGCAUAACGUCGCAAGACCAAAGAGGGGGACCUUCGGGCCUCUCACUAUCGGAUGAACCCAGAUGGGAUUAGCUAGUAGGCGGGGUAAUGGCCCACCUAGGCGACGAUCCCUAGCUGGUCUGAGAGGAUGACCAGCCACACUGGAACUGAGACACGGUCCAGACUCCUACGGGAGGCAGCAGUGGGGAAUAUUGCACAAUGGGCGCAAGCCUGAUGCAGCCAUGCCGCGUGUAUGAAGAAGGCCUUCGGGUUGUAAGUACUUUCAGCGGGGAGGAAGGCGAUGUGGUUAAUAACCGCGUCGAUUGACGUUACCCGCAGAAGAAGCACCGGCUAACUCCGUGCCAGCAGCCGCUGUAA
This 503-nucleotide ribosomal RNA is filed under the name uncultured bacterium. RNAcentral's name for it is "partial 16S ribosomal RNA". It matches the Rfam family "Bacterial small subunit ribosomal RNA", at positions 29 to 523 of the family's 1533-position model. The record is from RNAcentral.